RNAcentral lists this ribosomal RNA (253 nucleotides) under uncultured bacterium. RNAcentral's name for it is "partial 16S ribosomal RNA". It matches the Rfam family "Bacterial small subunit ribosomal RNA", at positions 524 to 776 of the family's 1533-position model. The record is from RNAcentral.
GACAGAGGGGGCAAGCGUUGCUCGGAAUUACUGGGCGUAAAGGGCGCGUAGGCGGGAUGGCAAGUCGGUCGUGAAAUCCCUCGGCUCAACCGAGGAACGUCGAUCGAUACUGCUGUUCUUGAGGAUUGCAGAGGAGACUGGAAUUCCCGGUGUAGCGGUGAAAUGUGUAGAGAUCGGGAGGAACACCGGUGGCGAAGGCGGGUCUCUGGGCAAUUCCUGACGCUGAGGCGCGAAAGCGUGGGGAGCAAACAGG